Molecule: transfer RNA, 90 nt
Filed under: bacterium
Lineage: Bacteria
Also listed under: 1 other name
Description: tRNA-Ser
Rfam family: tRNA
About the family: Transfer RNA (tRNA) molecules are approximately 80 nucleotides in length. Their secondary structure includes four short double-helical elements and three loops (D, anti-codon, and T loops).
Source: RNAcentral
GGAGGGGUGCCGGAGCGGUCGAACGGGGCGGUCUCGAAAACCGUUGUCCCGCCAGAAGCGGGACCGGGGGUUCGAAUCCCUCCCCCUCCG